This 253-nucleotide ribosomal RNA is filed under the name uncultured bacterium. RNAcentral's name for it is "partial 16S ribosomal RNA". It matches the Rfam family "Bacterial small subunit ribosomal RNA", at positions 524 to 776 of the family's 1533-position model. The record is from RNAcentral.
UACAAAGGUGCCAAGCGUUAGGCGGAAUCACUGGGCUUAAAGCGCGUGUAGGUGGACGGGUAAGUAUCUUGUGAAAUCCCACGGCUCAACCGUGGAACUGCUGGAUAUACUGCUUGUCUUGAGGCACUUAGGGGCAGCUGGAACAAAUGGUGGAGCGGUGAAAUGCGUAGAUAUCAUUUGGAACGCCAAAGGCGAAAGCAGGCUGCUGGGAGUGAUCUGACACUGAGACGCGAAAGCCAGGGGAGCAAACGGG